CCGGUAUACGUCUGGUUGAAGGUCCAUGAA
Molecule: ribosomal RNA, 30 nt
Filed under: Acanthocheilonema reconditum
Lineage: Eukaryota; Metazoa; Nematoda; Chromadorea; Rhabditida; Onchocercidae
Description: partial 5.8S ribosomal RNA
Source: RNAcentral